UGGGGAAUUUUGGACAAUGGGGGCAACCCUGAUCCAGCAAUGCCGCGUGAGUGAAGAAGGCCUUCGGGUUGUAAAGCUCUUUUGUCAGGGAAGAAACAGCAGCUCUAACACAGUAUGCGAAUGACGGUACCUGAAGAAUAAGCACCGGCUAACUACGUGCCAGCAGCCGCGGUAAUACGUAGGGUGCAAGCGUUAAUCGGAAUUACUGGGCGUAAAGCGUGCGCAGGCGGUUAUGUAAGACAGGCGUGAAAUCCCCGGGCUUAACCUGGGAAUUGCGCUUGUGACUGCAUAGCUAGAGUAUGUCAGAGGGGGGUAGAAUUCCACGUGUAGCAGUGAAAUGCGUAGAGAUGUGGAGGAAUACCAAUGGCGAAGGCAGCCCCCUGGGAUAAUACUGACGCUC
RNAcentral lists this ribosomal RNA (400 nucleotides) under uncultured bacterium. RNAcentral's name for it is "bacterial SSU rRNA". It matches the Rfam family "Bacterial small subunit ribosomal RNA", at positions 355 to 748 of the family's 1533-position model. The record is from RNAcentral.